This 751-nucleotide long non-coding RNA is filed under the name Apteryx rowi (Okarito brown kiwi). RNAcentral describes it as "lncRNA (ENSARWG00000009007.1)". Lineage: Eukaryota; Metazoa; Chordata; Aves; Apterygiformes; Apterygidae. The record is from RNAcentral.
CAGGGCCCCUUUCUCGGUGUUUUUAGCCCUCCUGUGUUUACUUUCCCAGGUGUUACUCUUUACUGUGACCGUAAGCGUCACGUUUAAUUCUGUUAGUGGAAGGUGCGACUCGCUCAGUGAACAGCUCCGGCGGGGGAUGUGCUCGUAGGGCUGCGGUCAGGCGCUGGCAGUGAAACAGGGCCGUGCCGGGGGGCGCGGACGGGGUUUCGGUUAGCCAGUUUAACUCCCUUUCGUGUGCUGAGGGAUGGACGGCACGCUGUGAGGAAAUGGAGAUGAGGAAAAGAACUUGGGGGGCUGGCGGAUGCUUCCUUGAUUUCGCAGAUGACACCAAAUUGGGGGGGAACACUUGAUAUGUUCGAGGGCAGGGCUGCUACCGAGAGGGACCUAGACAGGCUGGAGAAAUGGGCUAACAGGAACCUUUUGAAAUUCAAGAAGGACAAAUGCAAAGUUCUGUUCCUGUGAAGGAAGAACCCUUGGCACCAGUACAGGCUGGGGACAGCCUGCAGGAAAGGCCCUGUGCGUUGGUGGGCAGCAAGACAGGCACUAUGGGAACCACUGCAUCGACUAACUUCAGUUCCUCCUUAGAAUGAAAACCUCAAAAGUCAGUGACAGUUCACAUGUCAACUUUAACUUGGAAAAUCUAUUACUAGAGGUGAGUAGUACAGGACACUUCGGUCUUUGUGUUCUCUAUCAGAGUAUCUCGCAAAGCUUCCCACUGCUGCCAGUGAGGUAGUAUUUUUGUGAGCUUGGC